Bubalus bubalis (water buffalo) is the source of this 591-nucleotide long non-coding RNA. RefSeq lists it as uncharacterized. The record is from RefSeq and is a predicted model, not a curated record. Lineage: Eukaryota; Metazoa; Chordata; Mammalia; Artiodactyla; Bovidae. The transcript has 2 exons.
AUUGGACCGGGUAUUCUAAGUCACUGCCCUCUUUUUAUAUUCCUGUUUAUCACAGACUUCCUUCCCACCAGGGAAGAUGGAUAGGAAAAAAGCUGGUCCAGGGAAAAGGAGGCUGUAUACAUGAGUCUAGUAAUAUUCUGACAGUGUUAAGAAGUCAGACCUUCCUCACCUCUACCCACAGGCUCACCUGAGAGUCAGAUUAUAAUUCCCAGCCUCCUUCGCAAUGAAUGUGGUCAUGUGUUUGAGUUCUAGCCAACGAAAUGUGAGCUCAGGAGACUUGCCCAAUACUCAGGCCUCCCACACAUUCUUCUUGACCUUCUGCAUCAACCUUGGAGAUGGUAGCUGUUGAUACAAGAUGGAAAGAUCCUGGGUUUCUGCAUUUUCGCUGAGAGAGCAGAGCUUGCUAAUCAUAAAUGCCUAUUUUGGAUUAAUAUGAUUCAGAAAUAAGCUAAUAUUCUCUUAUGCCCUGAGAUUUUGUGGUUUAUCUGCUGUGUUGCAGCUGGGUGACUUAUUUAGUUCAGAAAUUGGUAUCCAGUAUCUUGGAGUGAGGUGAUGCUGUAACAAAAACCUAAAAUAUAUGUCCUUGGCUUA